Molecule: long non-coding RNA, 311 nt
Organism: Spodoptera litura
Lineage: Eukaryota; Metazoa; Arthropoda; Insecta; Lepidoptera; Noctuidae
Source: RefSeq, a predicted model, not a curated record
GUAUAGACGUGUUUCAUAUUUUAACCUAAAAUUAAUGUAAUUUUUCUAUUUACAUUGUGUGUAAAGUGAAACUAAGGAUUUAUGCAGUUCAUACUGUCAAUCACCGCAGAUGACUACUACAGAGGUGGCGUCAGGGAUAUGUGGACUUAUAUUAAUGGUCCCGUUUCAAAGUGACAGAGAAAAUGGAAUGUACUUCAAAAAUGUCUAUAUCAGGGAUAGAUUAUUCAAAGAGUUUCUUAAUUGUUGUCUUCAUAGAAAGAACAUGCAGCAAUAACAAUGGUUAUGUAACUUAAUAUUUUUGUAAUAAAAUC